Molecule: ribosomal RNA, 207 nt
Filed under: uncultured bacterium
Lineage: Bacteria
Description: partial 16S ribosomal RNA
Rfam family: Bacterial small subunit ribosomal RNA
Source: RNAcentral
CGCGUAGGUGGUUCGUUAAGUUGGAUGUGAAAUCCCCGGGCUCAACCUGGGAACUGCAUUCAAAACUGUCGAGCUAGAGUAUGGUAGAGGGUAGUGGAAUUUCCUGUGUAGCGGUGAAAUGCGUAGAUAUAGGAAGGAACACCAGUGGCGAAGGCGACCACCUGGACUGAUACUGACACUGAGGUGCGAAAGCGUGGGGAGCAAACA